CUGCGGAGGUCAUUAAUGAAUUCACUAUGGAGUUGUUGCUGGCCUCUAGGGGCAUGUGCACGCUUCACUAGUCUUUCAACCACCUGUGAACUUUUGAUAGAUCUGUGAAGUCGUCUUUCAAGUCGUCAGACUUGGUUUGCUGGGAUUUAAACGUCUCGGUGUGACAACGCAGUCUAUUUACUUAACACACCCCAAAUGUAUGUCUACGAAUGUCAUUUAAUGGGCCUUGUGCCUAUAAACCAUAAUACAACUUUCAACAACGGAUCUCUUGGCUCUCGCAUCGAUGAAGAACGCAGCGAAAUGCGAUAAGUAAUGUGAAUUGCAGAAUUCAGUGAAUCAUCGAAUCUUUGAACGCACCUUGCGCCCCUUGGUAUUCCGAGGGGCAUGCCUGUUUGAGUGUCAUUAAAUUCUCAAACUCACUUUGGUUUUUUCCAAUUGUGAUGUUUGGAUUGUUGGGGGCUGCUGGCCUUGACAGGUCGGCUCCUCUUAAAUGCAUUAGCAGGACUUCUCAUUGCCUCUGCGCAUGAUGUGAUAAUUAUCACUCAUCAAUAGCACGCAUGAAUAGAGUCCAGCUCUCUAAUCGUCCGCAAGGACAAUUUGACAAUUUGACCUC
Molecule: ribosomal RNA, 613 nt
Filed under: Pleurotus ostreatus (oyster mushroom)
Lineage: Eukaryota; Fungi; Basidiomycota; Agaricomycetes; Agaricales; Pleurotaceae
Description: eukaryotic LSU rRNA
Rfam family: 5.8S ribosomal RNA (bases 249-402)
Source: RNAcentral